UAUGCUAGGGUUGCCCCUACAAGAUAAAGAAAAGAGCAAGCGAAACAAAAUACACAACAAGGCAGAACUAACUACCUCUCCAAAUUAACGGGUCCUUUACAAUGAGGCGAAGCAAUUUAUGUGUUAAGUGACAGGUGCAAGAUGGACCACUACUUCUUAAAAUCUAUAUCUAAAACACUUCCCUAAGACCUAAUAUGGUAUCAUGCUCAUGCACCUAAACUAUAGGUAAGACCAUCUUUGGUUUUAAACACACGGAUUAAGCUAUUCGAAUUCUAUUGUCUACUCCACUAAGCUUGCAUACUAAUAAGUCCAAUCUGAUGUUAAAAACAGUUAGAUCGGUUUAUUAUCUAACGCACUAGUAACAGUUAUCAAACUAUCAAUUUCAUCUGGAAAUUAUAAGGGAUUCAAGAAGGGUAAAACGUAAUCGGAAGUAUAAGGGAAGGGUGGAACACAAACUUACAAGAUAAGUAGGAUUCAUCUUUGAUUUCAAAGUAGCUUCAACCACUUCCUUUGUCACGCCCAUCUCUCUCUCUUCUUGGUGUCGUUCGGUAACCUGGAAG
Papaver somniferum (opium poppy) is the source of this 560-nucleotide long non-coding RNA. RefSeq lists it as uncharacterized. The record is from RefSeq and is a predicted model, not a curated record. The transcript has 2 exons. Lineage: Eukaryota; Viridiplantae; Streptophyta; Magnoliopsida; Ranunculales; Papaveraceae.